RNAcentral lists this ribosomal RNA (253 nucleotides) under uncultured bacterium. RNAcentral's name for it is "partial 16S ribosomal RNA". It matches the Rfam family "Bacterial small subunit ribosomal RNA", at positions 524 to 776 of the family's 1533-position model. The record is from RNAcentral.
UACGUAGGGGGCGAGCGUUGUCCGGAAUCAUUGGGCGUAAAGCGCGUGUAGGCGGCUUGGUAAGUCUGGUGUGAAAUCCUGGGGCUUAACCCCAGACCUGCACUGGAUACUGCCAAGCUUGAGUCCGGGAGGGGAGAGCGGAAUUCCUAGUGUAGCGGUGAAAUGCGCAGAUAUUAGGAAGAACACCGGUGGCGAAGGCGGCUCUCUGGAACGGUACUGACGCUGAGACGCGAAAGCGUGGGGAGCGAACAGG